GUCCAAUCACAGCCUCGUGAAUACAGAGUCUGUCUGCCGCAGAUAUGCGAGGCUCCUGUUGUUUGUUCCGUACAAGUGACUCUGUUUUCGGUUUUAAUAACUUGCUUAAGUCGACACGACGCUGUUUCCCUGGAGGAGAAGAUGAGUGCGUGGGAAAGCAAAGCCGAGGGCCCGGUGUGGAGGAGUCGAAGCUGAGAAGACAGACGCACAGUCCCUGAACAAAGGUGAUACCCAGCCAAUGAGCGAAGCCAUUGCUAACUGCUAAGCUAACUCAGAUUUGAAAAACGUGUGAACAUUAGCGCGACAGUUGCUAAAAGUGAAAUAAAGCAUCGAGUGCUUUAGCGGAACUAGUGCAUUUUUAAAUAUGUAUGAACUACUUAAAUCGAACAGUUUGUUCUCUGUAAGAUUUUUCCUAAACGUGGUUUUUGUUUGUUUGUAGGAUCAUGCCCUCUUCACAGCUGUGAUGAAAAUGGCCGGCGGAGCGAGGGUAUGAAUAAAGAAGAGCUGUUCUGUUUAAAAUACAUCCUCCAGCUUUACUUUAUCUGAUCCAUUUCAUAGUUUUGUUUUCACAGCUGGAUUCCUGCACACAAUGACGCAGUCAAUGCACAUUACGCUGAGACUUGCUGAAAGUCCGCAUUUGCACUGCCUGUACUAUGACGUCCUAAGACCCACUAUGAGCCGGUAUGAAGGAGCUUCCAGUACAACCAACCGGACCUUGCCUCAGCAUUGAGGAGUUCAGGAGACGGCAGAGAAGAAAGAGGCUGAUUGAAGCGGGACAGAUGACAUCGAUCCAUCCUUCCACAGCCAGGAGCUCAACAACCUGUGUGCCACACUUCAAAUAAGAAUAGAAGCUACACUGGAUCUCACAGCUACACACCACAGACGUCUACACACUGGGGCAGAUUCGGACAGAGUCCCACAAAGAACUUAUGACCCAGAGGCUGCAAAGAGACAUUUCAAGCUUCACCUGAUUAGCUUUUCACUGGCAAGGCCAGUUGUGUUUGUACAAUAUUUGUGCUGUAUGUAAAUAAAGC
Molecule: long non-coding RNA, 1034 nt
Organism: Pleuronectes platessa (European plaice)
Lineage: Eukaryota; Metazoa; Chordata; Actinopteri; Pleuronectiformes; Pleuronectidae
Exons: 3
Source: RefSeq, a predicted model, not a curated record